GGGUAAUUAAAUUAUUAUAAAUAAAAAUUCACGAAUUAGAUCGAGCUAAGUAUUAAGGGUUUUAGUCUGUGCCCUAAAUGUAGCAAAAUUUAGAUAAGAUUAUUACUUAGGGGUGAAAGGCCAGCAAGAACUAAGAUAACUUGAUUUCCUUGAAAAGUAUUUAGUACAACUACAAAUACGCAGUGGUCAGGCUUCGUAUAAAUACUAAUAGUCUCAAAUUAGUUAAACAGAGUUUAAUAAUUAGUUUACAAUAAAAAUUAAAUAUACAUAUAGAUAUAUUUGUAUGUAUUAAAGGACUGUGGGGGAACUAUGGGCCCUAUUAUUAAUGUUACCAUAAGUAUUAUAGAAACUCUUUAGAAAGAACUCGGCAACACUUCCCUCAACUGUUUAACAAAAACAUAGCUAUGAGGUUUUAUUCAUAGUUCUCCUGCCCGGUGAAAAUUAAACGGCCGCAGUACCUUGACUGUGCAAAGGUAGCAUAAUCAAUUGGCUCAUAAUUGGAGUCUAGUAUGAAUGAAAGAAUGGGGGGAUACUGUUUCCUAAAGAAAAUAAGAAGUUAAUUAUCAAGUGAAAAUGCUUGAAGAAAAAUAAUAGACGAGAAGACCCUAGAAAUUUUGAUAAAUAUAAUAUAUAUUAUAGAGAUAUUAUUGGUUUUUGUUGGGGCGACAAAAUAACAUAAAAACUUAUUUACUAAGAUUAGAAAUUUUUUAAUUGAACAAUUAAAUUACUCUAGGGAUAACAGCAUAAUAUUUUAAAGUUUGUGACCUCGAUGUUGGACUAGGGAAUUCAAGCCUAGAA
RNAcentral lists this ribosomal RNA (798 nucleotides) under Landouria winteriana. RNAcentral's name for it is "partial 16S ribosomal RNA". Lineage: Eukaryota; Metazoa; Mollusca; Gastropoda; Stylommatophora; Camaenidae. The record is from RNAcentral.